RNAcentral lists this ribosomal RNA (449 nucleotides) under uncultured bacterium. RNAcentral describes it as "partial 16S ribosomal RNA". It matches the Rfam family "Bacterial small subunit ribosomal RNA", at positions 29 to 523 of the family's 1533-position model. The record is from RNAcentral.
AACGAACGCUGGCGGCAUGCCUAACACAUGCAAGUCGAACGAGAUCUUCGGGUCUAGUGGCGCACGGGUGCGUAACGCGUGGGAAUCUGCCCUUUGGUUCGGAAUAACAGUUGGAAACGACUGCUAAUACCGGAUGAUGACGAAAGUCCUAAGAUUUAUCGCCAGAGGAUGAGCCCGCGUAGGAUUAGCUAGUUGGUGUGGUAAAGGCGCACCAAGGCGACGAUCCUUAGCUGGUCUGGGAGGAUGAUCAGCCACACUGGGACUGAGACACGGCCCAGACUCCUACGGGAGGCAGCAGUGGGGAAUAUUGGACAAUGGGCGAAAGCCUGAUCCAGCAAUGCCGCGUGAGUGAUGAAGGCCUUGGGGUUGUAAAGCUCUUUUACCCGGGAUGAUAAUGACAGUACCGGGAGAAUAAGCUCCGGCUAACUCCGUGCCAGCCGCCGCCGUAA